AUUUCUCUUUCUCUCUCUUCUCUUUCUAUCCAUUGACUAAGUCUUCUUCCUCAACCUUCUCUUCCACUUCCUCAACCUCCCCUUUCUUUUUCUUCCUCACCUUCAUUUUCUAACAACAUCAUCACCACCCUCUUCUAGCUCUUUUGUGGUUUAUUUUUCAGGUUAUAGACCGGAUCGAGUUUUACCGGUGAGUUUUGAAGCUAAAAAGGUUAUAGGCUGGAUCGGGUUUUACCGGUUAUAAACUAGAUCAAGUUUUACCGGUGAGUUUUGAAGGUGACAAGCAUGUUUUGGCGACUCUACAAGCAUUCGCAAGACAAUGAUUUUGUGGGAUUUCCUUGCAGUGUCUGGGAUUUCCUUUCCAAUGUGAAUGGAAUGUAUAGUUGCAGUUAAUUGAUUUACUUUGUCGGUGACCAAUCAUAUUUUGAUACGGGAUAUCAUAGUAACUAUAACUAAUUGACCUGUCAAAUUUCUUUUAAGUUGUUUUCUGUCUGAUUUUCUAUCAUAGGUAUAACCAUGGUUGUCGAUGUUGUCGUAACUAUUGUUGUUUUGGGAUUGUGGAAGAUGAAGAGUGAAGACAGGUAAAUUAUGACUUUAUUUGAGGUAUAAUUAGGUGAGGUAUAAUUAUGGCUGUUGAUUGUGGGACUGUUAUCAAAUUUCUUCAGACAGUGUUAUUAUCAAGCCAUAUAGCUCAAUUGUUAGCAAUUCAAAGUUUGUUGAUUUUGCAUUUAAUAAAUCUGAGUCACAAGUGUAUCAGGAAAAUCCCAAAAUUGAAGAAUACAGUUACAUUUUAGUUAAGAAAACAAUAAACUUUGUCAAUAUUACAUAAAAAACAACAUUAAUAAUGGUGAAAUUCAACUUGCAGUGGAGUGCAUUUUAUGCUCAGCUUGCAUAUGGUUAGUGGAGUGUUGUCCACAAGAGGGGCUUACUAGUUUUUACAUUGUUUGUAACUGUGUGUGUAUUAUGUUCAUUUUUCAUUAGUUUUUAGUCCCUUAUAAUUGUCAUUUGUUCUAUGUUGUAGAGAAACUAUGGUAUGAACCGGUGAAUUUUGUUUUUGACUAGCUAAUAAAUGCCGACAGGUAAAUGUAGGAAGAGAUAUGACAUAUUUGUUUUUUCUUUCUGUGAAAUACUCAAAAUGUAAAAAAGUUAAUGGGAUUCCUCUUGCCGGUUGUAUAAAAAUACCAACUUGACAUAUU
Molecule: long non-coding RNA, 1193 nt
Organism: Vicia villosa (hairy vetch)
Lineage: Eukaryota; Viridiplantae; Streptophyta; Magnoliopsida; Fabales; Fabaceae
Exons: 4
Source: RefSeq, a predicted model, not a curated record